AAUGAAAAAAAAAUAUAUGUAAAAAUAUGUGUGCAAUUUUAUAUACUAAUAGACAAAUACAGAUACACAAAGCAGCAUACCACCGAGCAAGUGAAUUUAUACAACACAGGAAAUCACAUAUUCUCCCACGUAUUCUACCUUUCCAUAUUGAAUGGUGCAAGUCCAGCUCCCAUAUGAAUAAAACUACCCCUGGACUCACCAAAUUUCUUUUCCUUUUGGGAUUCAACAUCACUAAACACUUCUUCUUCUUCUUCUUCUUUCAACAAAAAGCAAGAAGAAGGAAUGGACUCCACCAAGAUCUCAGCUUUCCUCCUCAUUUGCAUGCUCUUCAUUUCCUCCACCACUCCAAUUCUUGGCUAUUGUUCUUGCGACAACCACAAGCCACCAAAGCACAAGGGCCACAAGGGAAAAUUUCCUCACCCUCCCAUUACUAUUCCUCCCAAAGUUAAGCCUCCAAUCAAGUUGCCACCAGUCAUCCCUCCUAUUGUGAAGCCGCCGGUGACAGUUCCUCCUAUUGUGAAGCCACCAGUGACUCUCCCUCCUGUGACAUUUCCUCCCAUUGUGAAGCCACCAGUGACUCUCCCUCCUGUGACAUUUCCUCCCAUUGUGAAGCCACCAGUGACUCUCCCUCCUGUGACAUUUCCUCCC
Molecule: unclassified non-coding RNA, 648 nt
Filed under: Hevea brasiliensis (rubber tree)
Lineage: Eukaryota; Viridiplantae; Streptophyta; Magnoliopsida; Malpighiales; Euphorbiaceae
Source: RNAcentral